This is a small nucleolar RNA of Jaculus jaculus (lesser Egyptian jerboa), 109 nucleotides long. RefSeq annotates it as small nucleolar RNA U13. The record is from RefSeq and is a predicted model, not a curated record. The transcript has a single exon. Lineage: Eukaryota; Metazoa; Chordata; Mammalia; Rodentia; Dipodidae.
AUCCUUUUAUUGGUUUAUGAGAGUGAUGGUUGAGUAUUUACAUGUUUGCCUAACAAGUGCCUCCCACAAAACUUGUUACAACAUCUAUUGGCACAGUACCCUUUUGGUG